RNAcentral lists this long non-coding RNA (5701 nucleotides) under Prunus persica (peach). RNAcentral's name for it is "long non-coding RNA (PPER_LNC004046)". Lineage: Eukaryota; Viridiplantae; Streptophyta; Magnoliopsida; Rosales; Rosaceae. The record is from RNAcentral.
CAUGCAGUUUGUAAAACCUUUUCUCUAGAGAAGCCACUGAUAGUGGUGACGAUGCUGAGGAUGAUGAUGAUGAGGAGGAGGAUGCUGAAGCUGGAGACUGUCCCUCCAUACUCUCAUGGUAUAAUCGCCCUCUAUAUGCCACAAGGUCAGCAUAAUACACCGGUGGGACCAACGAUACCGGUUUAGUACACCUUGCAAACGUGAAGCACAAGUCAUAUAUGAGCUUCUGCAAUUGGUCAGAAGUAAACCAGUGUUCAUCCCAAAGAACAUGGUAGCGUGUGGGUUUGCUUGUUCCAAGGGCUCCAUAAUGACUGCAGAGAUAGAAGUCAAACUGAAAUGGGUGCACGAUUAUUGUGUCCACCACAGUUCCCGGUAAUACGUUGCCUGUGGAACUACCAUCCCUCAUACUCUCCGGAAAGAGACGAGUAUGGUGCCGUUUCUGGGCAACAAUUAGUGUGAUGGUUGGAUAGUAUUUUAUACCUCCUAAAGCCCUUUUCAGAUCUAGUAACUCUUCAUUGCGAACCAUAUCAAACUGGCCCUCACUGACUCCAUCACGGAAGACAACAAUUUUGUCCGGCUUGACUUUAUUCAAUCGCUCAUAAGUUUCAACAAGCUCCAGACACAUGUCUCCAAAAUUCAAUAUCUUCUCAGUGCGAUGGUCCUGGGGUCGGACUCGUGCAGCAUAACGAUUCGCGGCAGGCCAGUUUACAGUGGCAACAACAGCUGCAAUUGAUGGACUUGUCGUGUUCCGCGCAGCAGGAUGAUUCACAUCAGCCCCCACAAACAUAACAUGGCCUGCAACCCCAAAGAGGGGAAACCGAUCACUUAGCUCUACAUUACUGCCUCCAAGCUUGGCAUUGAUCUUAAGGGCAAGAUUUGAAAGAUACUGGUCAUUUGCUUUGUUAGCCAUAUUUGACAAGCAGCACUGCGUCACUAUACCAAUUUGAGUCUCAGAGAUCCACUUCAGAUACUUGUAACCAGGAUCUUUUCGAGCCAUUACACAAACAAGUAAUUGUAAAUGGCCUUUGCUUUUUUUGUAUGCCUGUUCAUUAAUGCUUUCAAGCAGCUGACGAAGCAUCUAAACACUAGUGAAUGGUCUCAUGGAAAUGGCUUCGUACAAAACAGGCUCUCCCAUUAUGAUUCCCAGUUUGUUGCACUUUGUGAUGAGCUUUGGGAUGAAUUGAGUAGGAUCCAGACAGAAUCGAUCAUAACUGCUGAAGUCAAGUACAGCCCAGUGACUGAUUGGUUUUCCUUCCACUAGAGACUUCCCAACAAGAUUCCAAUGGCAUUUUUCUCGGUCAACUGUUACCUUAGUCAUCCUGCCAUCAGAAGAAGGACCCAACUUCAACUCAGGUGGGACAAUGACACGCCCUAUUACUGAUGUCAUAUUCAUGUUGACUUCAAUUCCAAAAUUCUCAAUGAUGCCACCACUGCCAAUAACUAAAGAAUCAGGAUCAUAAUUAAUAAUGCAGUUUUUUAUGUAGAAUUAAGUUAAUCAAAAUGGUAAAACUAUCUUGUUGGGAUCUGUACGUGUGCAUGCCACAGAGAUCUGUACACUUCAUUAAAUUAAGGUAACACCGCUAUAUGCGAAAAAAUUCCACUAUCACCAGCAUGUUCAUAAAUGAUAUUAGAGCAGAACUGUAGUUCUCAUCCUUCAGAGGAACCAACUGCCUGCUGACUAAAAUCAUACACACUAAUUGUGUUCCAUGAGAGGAAGAAUGACUUCAAGAAAAAUCAAGUAAACAACAGUGGAAGUUUGUUCACAUCUAACUUUACUAACCAAAAGAAAGGACACAAAAUAGCUUACCCACAAGGUCCAUCACCAGAUUGUACCAUGCCACAUAUCAUGUUCUCUCUAACCUUUGGUGAAGCCAAUGACAUGUCCUUCAGCUUGAUAGCUGCAUUUCUGUCCAAAUUCUCCUUUGGAUACCUUUGCCCCUCAACUAAGACACAGAACUCCAGCGGUGUAUAGUUCUUCCUACCAUUUUUCCCCAAAUCCAAGCAGGGAAUGUUUUUGUACUGGAUCUCCUGGUAUUUUUCCCUGAAAUAAUCAAGCAGCCUAACUUUCUUAGGUGUACACUGGCCAUCUAUGCCUGCAGCAUCAAAUGUAAUGUCUCCUGCAUUCUUAUCAGUCAGCCCCUUGAUGAUGUACUUUUGCUUGGUUCUAAGGUGUGUCACGGUAACUUUCAAUCCCAUCAAUACAUCCACAACCUCUCUCCUAAACCUGUUGAGAUUGUUUAAAUCAAAGCCCCUGAUCUGCUCUUGCAGAAAAUCUAUAACGGGCAGGCGCUUAUAAAAUGCCAAGACUGAGUAGUCAAGACACAAGGCAGGACCCUGGAAAGUCAUCCUUGAGCUUUGCUGAAACCCUCUAAAUGCAGCAAUACCAUGUCCAAGGUCAUCGUUUUGAUUUGAUGUAGCGGGGUAAAAGCUUCGCCCAACAGAAACCAAGCACCUAGUUGGAUUUUCUUUCAUCACCAAAUCCAUACCCUGCAAUAUAUCACGAGGGAUAGACAAGAGUUGGCCACUACAGUACUCCUUCAACUUGCAAAGCUUGAGCUCAUUUACCAAAUUUAUGGUAAAUAUGUAUGAACUGAACCGCGUGCCUUCUUCCUCAGAAACCUCCACCUUAAAUGAUCCGGUGGGCAAUGGCACUGCACUGAAGAUGUUCUUUCCAUCAUCACAUGCGGUACUUGACAAGGGAAAAUCCGAAGGAUUAUCAUAGGAUAACUUCUUCCUGAUUGCAGAGAGUUCAGACUUCGACAUUUUCACAGGACGGCCAUUUUUAGCAGGCUUCUCUGGCUUGACAUCAACAUCGUAGUGCCUUAUAAUACUCUCAGGAUUGUACGAGAGAUUAAAAUGAUUAGCACGAAGCCUAGUAGUUCGGAUAGAUUUUGUGCCUCCAUUAUCAGGCCGUCUCACAGGGAGUUUUUUGUCUGCUUCAUCCAAAGAAGGCGAAGAAAGUGCCUGUUUCGAAAUUUCCAGAGAUUGCAUUCUAGGAACAAGAGUAUCUGUGAAGAAAAAAGAACAAACAAAAGGUGUUAUUACCAAGCCUCAUUUUUUAUGUAAAUCCAAAUGGCUAGACCAACGGUAGCUAAAAAACUGACAUUUAGGAAUAAAAAUGCAACGGCUUCAUUCACAGCCUAUAUGAUAUGAUCAGUAGUGCAAAUUUCAAUUGUAUCUCAAAAAGGACCCAGAAUGAAGAAGAAAAAAAAAUUACCGGGAGUAGGAGAGUUGAUCGGGGCUGGAGAUACAGCAGGAGAGGCUGCUCUGGUGGGAGCGGGACUAUUCCAUGGAGAAGGCCUCCCUUGCUGGCCCGAACUCUCAUUCGGUUGUUGUAUACUGCUGCUGCUGCAGCGGUUGUUGUUGAUGGUGGUACUGGGACCCACCACCACCAUGACCGCCAUAACCACCUCUUCCUCCUCCACUUCCUCUGCCGUAGCCACCAUAAUCACCUCUUUCACCACCAUCACUGCUGCCUCUACGUCUUCCUCUGUUUCCACCACCACCUCUUUCCAUUGGAGAAAUCGGGAGCAAACUCAAAAACGAUCGAAGAGAAAACUUGCCUCAAAUUCGUACUCUCUCAAUUCACAAAAAUCAGAAAUGAGUCUGUGAUCAAGAUGAGAAGUUGGUUCCUUAUAAAGGGUGUUGGGUGGAAUGACGAUCUUGUCCCUGCGCGAUUGCCUUAGUCCCGAAGUGCCUUAGUCACGAAGAAAUCAACCAAAAAGGAGACGCGGGAGUGGGAGCGAUUGGAAAAUGGUUUUAGAUUUUUGGUGGAAAGUCCAGAAGCUUCCAUGGAACAGAGAGGAAUUUGCUUCUUCUUUCUUUUUCGCCCAAGGGUUGCAUGAGGAACUGUAUUUGAUAACAUUCUCCUGUUUCUCGUUUCGCUUAUAUUCGCUCACUCUGUCCCCGCCCUUUUUUUUUUCUUUUUUUUUUUUUGAUAAUGCUUCCAAGUUCCCUCCUUUAAAAAUACAAAAGAAAGGUUCCCUCCUUGCCUAGCUCAACCACCACCACGUGUCUUUUUUAAUUCUCAAUUCUUUUUAAUUUCUUACCCAAGUUAAAAUUUAAAUUCUUUUGCGACCCAUUGCAACUCCUUAUAAUCCCCCUCCAGCCAAAACAAUAUGGUAAACAAUGAACUCUGGUAAACAUAACCUUUUUAUGAUUUUAUUUUUUUUUCGUUUUUUUUUUUGUUUUUUUUGUUUUGCUAAAGAUAAGAAGGGAGGAAAAAAUUCACACAUAGUUGUGGGAACCUAAUUAAAUCAAACCCUAGGUCAAAUAAUUCCUACCAUUUGGGGAUUAUUUGACCCAAUUGGGAAUCAAUCAACCUAAUUGGGAGUUACUCAAUUUAAUUGGGAAUUACCCAAUUAAAUUGAGCGUUACCUAAUUAGGUUGAGAUUUGAUUUGGUUAAUUACCACGAUCCCCAAUUAAAUGAGAAGAUACCUAAUUGAAUCGGGAUUUGAUUUGAUACCUACCACAAUUAGGGAUUUGAUUUACCCUAAUAAAUCAAAUCCCUAAUUAAUCAAAUCAAUUCCAAAAAGGGGAGGAAUAAUUCCCUUCCAUCUACGGAAUUAUUCCUCUGAAACCCUAGCCUCCGAGACUACUAUAAAAGCAUAGCCAUACACAAUGGUUGAGGUACGUCAGAAUUACUACUAAAAUCUCUGCAGAAAAUUCCUCUCAAACCCUAGCCACCUCCUCUCUUUCUCUCUUUUACAUAAGGCUCCGGCCGCCCGAUUUAUAUUAUAAACACAUCCCGUACCCUAUUUUAGCUAUUGUUUCUCUAAAGAUCGAUUGAACUGACUUAGGCAUCGGAGGGCCUUUGGCCAACACCCCCCGGGUGUGGUCUUUUACUCCGAUCUGUUUUGCAGGGAGAAAGAGAGGCGGAGAAGACGAAGGAAUCUUGGCGAAUAUUCUCCCGUGAGAUUAUUUGCACAAACAAUAGUAAUAUGAAAGUUUGAACUCAUGAUCACUUGAGAGCACAACAAAGAAGCUAUUCAACUAACACCUUAUGGAUUCUUAGAACAAGCAAAUUUUGAGUGACAAGAGAUAGUAAAACACAUAAUGAAAAUACAUCAACAGAUUUCUGAACACAAAAUUAGAAUAGUCUCAUUAUGACCACAAGUGACAAUCACGGUCAAGAACAAAAAGAUACAUCCCUUCAUCACCAAUUUUGAGAUUAAAAAACACUAUUAAUUUGUAAUUAAGACAUUACUAGAUAAGGACGAGUUCCUCCUUAAAUUCACACAUAAGAAAUAAACACCCAUUAGAUUCACGCACAAACUCCUUUUGAGGAGGUUGGAGUUGCCCCCGGGAUUGCCAAGUUACAAAACCACAUCCUUCAUUUUCCACAAAAGAGAGAUCAGGGAUCAUGCUUCGACCUUCAUACGAAAAACAUUAUGUUUUCCAGGUCAGCAUGCAGUUUGUAAAACCUUUCCUCUAGAAAAGCCACUGAUAGUGGUGAUGAUGCUGACGAUGACGAUGAUGAUGAGGAGGAUGCUGAAGCUGGAGACUGUCCCUCCAUACUCUCAUGGUAUAAUCGCCCUCUAUAUGCCACAAGGUCAGCAUAGUACACCGGUGGGACCAACGAAACCGGUUUAGUACACCUUGCAAACGUGAAGCACAAGUCAUAUAUGAGCUUCUGCAAUUGGUCAGAAGUAAACCUGUGUUCAUCCCAAAGAACAUGGUAGUGUGUGGGUUUGCUUGUUC